CGAGUUCUCGUAUAAUCACCGAAGUUAAGAAACACUGAGCCUGGUCAGUACUUUGAUGGGUGACCGUUUGGGAGUAUCAGCUACUGU
Non-coding RNA from Acanthosepion pharaonis, 87 nucleotides. The record is from the annotation of a GenBank genome assembly. NCBI's taxonomy places the organism in Eukaryota, Metazoa, Mollusca, Cephalopoda, Sepiida, Sepiidae.